Molecule: ribosomal RNA, 500 nt
Filed under: uncultured bacterium
Lineage: Bacteria
Description: partial 16S ribosomal RNA
Rfam family: Bacterial small subunit ribosomal RNA
Source: RNAcentral
AUUGAACGCUGGCGGCAUGCCUUACACAUGCAAGUCGAACGGCAACACGGGAGCAAUCCUGGUGGCGAGUGGCGAACGGGUGAGUAAUAUAUCGGAACGUGCCCAGUCGUGGGGGAUAACGCAGCGAAAGCUGUGCUAAUACCGCAUACGAUCUCUGGAUGAAAGCGGGGGACCGUAAGGCCUCGCGCGAUUGGAGCGGCCGAUAUCAGAUUAGCUAGUUGGUGGGGUAAAGGCCCACCAAGGCGACGAUCUGUAGCUGGUCUGAGAGGACGACCAGCCACACUGGAACUGAGACACGGUCCAGACUCCUACGGGAGGCAGCAGUGGGGAAUUUUGGACAAUGGGCGCAAGCCUGAUCCAGCAAUGCCGCGUGCAGGAUGAAGGCCUCCGGGUUGUAAACUGCUUUUGUACGGAACGAAACGGCGAGCUCUAAUAAAGUUUGCUAAUGACGGUACCGUAAGAAUAAGCACCGGCUAACUACGUGCCAGCAGCCGCCGUAA